GGGCUUUAGCUCAAUGACAGAGCAUCUGAUUUGCAUGCAGAGGGUCCCAGGUUCAAUCCCUAACAUCUUCA
Podarcis lilfordi (Lilford's wall lizard) is the source of this 71-nucleotide non-coding RNA. NCBI's taxonomy places the organism in Eukaryota, Metazoa, Chordata, Lepidosauria, Squamata, Lacertidae. The record is from the annotation of a GenBank genome assembly.